This 2929-nucleotide long non-coding RNA is filed under the name Fragaria vesca (wild strawberry). Its description in RNAcentral is "long non-coding RNA (FVES_LNC003765)". The record is from RNAcentral. Lineage: Eukaryota; Viridiplantae; Streptophyta; Magnoliopsida; Rosales; Rosaceae.
UCCUUCAAUCGGCUGCCAAUUCGAAAAAAUAUAUUUAUCCCCAAUUUCGAAUUAAAUCUAACGCCGGGCCCGGGGUUUCAAACCUUUUUACGAUUUUAGGUUGUUCAGAAUGUUGAAUGUUGACAGCCAAGAGGACCUCGAUGUCGAUCGAUCGCUUGAGUAAUAGACCCAGUAAGCAAGAGGAGUAGUGGUCGGCUUGAAUGCGAAUGGCGAACGGUUAUGCUAUUUUCUUUCUUUUUAGAUUAGUCACGGUAAAUUAUUGUUUUACUGCGUUUUUUUGUUUUUUUAUUCCAGUGGUUAACGUCACUUGACUAACACCUUCCUCAUAUUCAACAUCUUCUUUCCAUCACGUGCACUACACAUGGGCGUGCACAUCCACGGCCGUGCACACAAGACACUCCGGUUUGAUCAGAAGACGCUCAACCAAAAGUAGUUAAAGUAACUCAUAAAACUGUUGUUUGAUGUUAAAUGAAGGGUACGUAACAGAAGAUAUAUGCAUGUUGUUUGAAUUUUCACCUUCAUCAGUUGCAGUACUAGAGAUUGAUCUGGUUUAUGAAAAUCAAAUGGUAUUGUAAGUCUUGCGGUCUCUUCAUCAAUGAUCCUUCUGGGUGUGAUAUGGACUUAUCGUGAAGUAAAAAAGACUUGGUUGAAGGACAGGGCAAGUUUUGUGUUUGUGUGACGAUCUUGGAAGAGCCCCACUUGGAGUUCUUGAGGAUGUGAAUGUUUUUGUUUCAUUCAGUUUGAAUACAAUUCAAGAACGUAACUUUUUGAGCAUGACACAUCAACGCCGGCCACCCCUUGAUUGAAUGAUUGAUAAAUCAAUCACGCACUGUCAUGAGGAGAGACAUUAUAGUCCUACAAGCCCAUCAGAUAAUUGAUUUUUACGCAAGUUUGUCAAAACUUUGAGCGCUUCCGUGAUAUCGAUUUUCAAUUUCUAUUCAUAAAUGAAAAAGAAUAGUUAAGAAAAAGUUAUUAGAUCAGAUAAUAAUUUAACUUGUUGAAACUAACCUCAUCAAGUUUUUUCUUUUCUGAUUCAUCAUUUACUGUUCGUAAAGACUAUUGCUUGCAAACAGGAACAGCUCGCAAGAACAAUGCCUCAGCCAACGCUGUUUUAUGUCUUCUGUGUCGCUGCUAUAAUAAUAUGUGAAAUUGAUUAAUAACCUCCAAGUAGUAAUUAUAACAAAACAAAAUUAAAAGAAUGAAAGACAUGAAGUCCAAUAUAUUAACGAAAACGAAACUUGUCGAAAAAAAAAAAAAAAAGAAGCAAUCACUGAGAGUAAGAUUGGAAAAUUUUGCUCCAGGAUGGAUAGACGUGCUUCAAACGUUGUUCGGGUCUGUGAUUAGAAUUAACAGAUGUGGUGAUGUCGAUGUGAGUCUGCUUCAUCAAGAUUUGAGGGGUAAAAAGAAAGACAUAUUUUACAUACUUGUUUCGACCAAAAGAUAGGAAAUGUCUCUUAAAGAAUUGGAACAACUCGUCAUCGGUAGUGGUUCUCUGUUUGCAAAGAAAAGAAAGAUGCUUGAUGAGUCUAUAGAGCUGCAUUGUUCCUAUAGAUUUGUAGUGAAGUAAUUUCUAACACGUGUGUUAUUAGGAUAAGACAAAAUAAAAUGAUAAUGAAUUCAAUCGUUGAAGAUGCAGUUAAAGAGAUUGAAAAGCUUGAAAAUCAUUUCAUACUUACUAUUUGAUGUCUCUCAGAAGAUCUGUGGUUAAAAACGAAGUGAUUUGUUUCAUCUAUCAACUACCUCUUUACAACGAUAAUGGAGACAAGACAAUUAAGACGAUAUGUGGUUGCUGCUUUCACGAGACAUGUAUGAUGAAAUGAGUUAAGAGGAAAGGGAAGAGCGAAUUCUCGUGCCCUAAGUGUAGGGACAAGUACUUUGUCCAGCUCUGUUUUUGAGUAUGAUGAUUAGCCUACAUAAUGAUAAGCUUGAGGAUUACUGAUCAUUAGGUCGUAUAUUCAAGACAUCUAUACGGUAUGGGAUGUGUAGGCUUAUAUGUUUUUUAUGUAUGGACUAAUCAGCAUGUAAUGAGUAGAGCGAGUUCAUUAGCAUACAUACAUCAAAUUUUUGUUAUGUAUAUAAACAUAAUAUUUGAUAACUUGAUUGUGUGACGUAGUUAAAAAUAACCUUAUAAGGUUCGACCUUACUAAGCGUAAACUCACCCUUAUAGAUUCUUGUUCAGGUGCGUACAAGGUUUACGAGGUAUGACGUGUCUUUUAAGAAGUCUAACUGUGAUGUCUAGCUGACGUGUAGAGAGCAGAAAAGAGUUACGUUUGUUUCUAGUGAGCUAGAUCGUAAGACCAGUUUUGUCUUUGUAAUUAGUUUUGUUAUUGUAAAUGUUUUAUUUUCAACAAUGUCUACAAAAAUAUUUAAAUUUGUUUUGUUUUCUCUUUCUUUUCUAGAUCACGCCUCAGAUUCGGUGUUAAGUGCUUAGAAACCACCGACAUCGGAUUUGGGGUGUGACACCACUGGUUAAAUUUGACAACCAGUUUGCCAUCUAAUAUUACAACACCACAAUUCAACCCAAAAUUUCAAAAAUAACAGUGAAAAUCCAUGACAAAAAAGAACCAAAAGAAGAGAAACAAAGAAACAAGAACAAAAAAACGAAGUGAAGAACACUUUGACUCAGAAAACAAGUAGACUAGCUAAGGCAUAAUUUGAUGAAAUUGAAGCAAAAUCACGCCUUAAUCAAUCAACCCUUGAGUAGAAACACUAAGAAUUGCUAGAAACUACAACAAAUUCACACAAAUUUCGCCACAAUUGUAGCUAAAAAGAAUUUUUUUAAAAGAGGGCAAUUCAUCAUACCUUGAGAAUUAGACAACGAAUGGUAUCAUGUAAUCACCUUGAACAUGUAUAAAUGAGGAUGAAGGGAGGAAAUUUGAGCUAAGGUUAUUAGAAGAUGAAGAAAUUGGGAGGAGAGGAAGAAUGGGAG